Molecule: ribosomal RNA, 250 nt
Filed under: uncultured bacterium
Lineage: Bacteria
Description: partial 16S ribosomal RNA
Rfam family: Bacterial small subunit ribosomal RNA
Source: RNAcentral
ACGGAGGGUGCUAGUGUUAUUCGGAAUCACUGGGCGUAAAGAGCACGUAGGCGGAUAGGUAAGUCAGAUGUGAAAUCCCGGGGCUCAACUUCGGAACUGCAUUUGAUACUGCCUGUCUUGAGUGUGGUAGAGGUGGAUGGAAUUCCCGGUGUAGAGGUGAAAUUCGUAGAUAUCGGGAGGAACACCAGAGGCGAAGGCGAUCCACUGGGCCACUACUGACGCUGAGGUGCGAAAGCGUGGGGAGCAAACA